AUUGCAAGGUGCUGUUUACAGCCUCUAUUACACCACCAUCACAUUCUAUGGGGAUUACGCAGCUCUUAUGUAAGUUGGUUUGCAAGCCUGAAGCCACACCAAAGACAUACAACAGAUUCUUAGUGAGCUGCAGAUCAUCUUCUUCCGGCCGAAUAAAGAGUGCUACAUCAUCAGCAUAUAAAGACAUGCGCUGUCCAGUGGAGUGGAGGGGCUGUAAUAGGCCCUCAGUUUCAGCUUUCAAGAAGAGACUGUUUAGGACAUCCAUAACCAAGAUAAAGAGCAUAGGGGAUAAAG
RNAcentral lists this long non-coding RNA (294 nucleotides) under Setaria italica (foxtail millet). RNAcentral describes it as "long non-coding RNA (SITA_LNC005743)". The record is from RNAcentral. Lineage: Eukaryota; Viridiplantae; Streptophyta; Magnoliopsida; Poales; Poaceae.